Molecule: transfer RNA, 76 nt
Filed under: Scaeurgus unicirrhus
Lineage: Eukaryota; Metazoa; Mollusca; Cephalopoda; Octopoda; Octopodidae
Description: tRNA-Glu
Source: RNAcentral
GUUUUUGUGGUGUAGGUAUAAUGCACGAAAGAUUUUCAAUUUUUAGGAGUAAAUAUAUUAUAGUUUAUCAAAAAUU